CUUCUUACCAGUACACUUGGUACAAUCAAAAACCUGAUAAUAAAUUGUUCAAAUAAGGCCUUCGAAAAUAGUGGAAUUAAUUACUUUUGGAGUGUCAAAAACUCGUUGGAAGUACUUGAUAAAUUGCAUGCUUAUAUUGGUGAUUUUGAAUCUGUUCAAAGUUUUGAUUUUUCUACCCUAUAAACCACAUUGCCUCACAUUCUCAUUAAGAAAAAAAUC
Molecule: long non-coding RNA, 219 nt
Filed under: Mytilus galloprovincialis (Mediterranean mussel)
Lineage: Eukaryota; Metazoa; Mollusca; Bivalvia; Mytilida; Mytilidae
Source: RNAcentral